GGGCGGUGGAGGCACAGCAAAAUGCAAAUUUGAAGAAGCACCCAUAAAGGUGCCCCGGCU
RNAcentral lists this transfer RNA (60 nucleotides) under Lygodactylus capensis (Cape dwarf gecko). RNAcentral describes it as "tRNA-Cys". The record is from RNAcentral. Lineage: Eukaryota; Metazoa; Chordata; Lepidosauria; Squamata; Gekkonidae.